CCCUUAGAUGUCCUGGGCCGCACGCGCGUUACACUGAUGCAUUCAACGAGCUUAUAACCUUGGCCGAGAGGCCUGGGCAAUCUUGUUAACGCGCAUCGUGAUAGGGAUAGAUUAUUGAAAUUAUUAAUCUUGAACGAGGAAUUCCUAGUAAACGCAGAUCAUCAAUCUGCAUUGAUUACGUCCCUGCCCUUUGUACACACCGCCCGUCGCACCUACCGAUUGGAUGGUCCGGUGAAGCCUCGGGAUUGUGGUUCUUGCCGCUUUAUUGUAGCGUGACCGCGAGAACUUGUCUAAACCUUAUCAUCUAGAGGAAGGUGAAGUCGUAACA
Molecule: ribosomal RNA, 328 nt
Filed under: uncultured eukaryote
Lineage: Eukaryota
Description: partial 18S ribosomal RNA
Rfam family: Eukaryotic small subunit ribosomal RNA
Source: RNAcentral